UGCGCAGGCGGGUUUGUAAGUCAGUGGUGAAAUCCUGCCGCUUAACGGUAGAAUAGCCAUUGAUACUGCGAAUCUUGAGUAUGGUUGAGGUAGGCGGAAUGUGUAGUGUAGCGGUGAAAUGCAUAGAUAUUACACAGAACUCCGAUUGCGAAGGCAGCUUACUAAGCCAUAACUGACGCUGAGGCACGAAAGCGUGGGGAGCGAACAGGAUUAGAUACCCUGGUAGUCC
RNAcentral lists this ribosomal RNA (229 nucleotides) under uncultured bacterium. Its description in RNAcentral is "partial 16S ribosomal RNA". It matches the Rfam family "Bacterial small subunit ribosomal RNA", at positions 568 to 796 of the family's 1533-position model. The record is from RNAcentral.